GAUGAACGCUGGCGGCGUGCCUAAUACAUGCAAGUCGAGCGAACAGACGAGGAGCUUGCUCCUCUGACGUUAGCGGCGGACGGGUGAGUAACACGUGGAUAACCUACCUAUAAGACUGGGAUAACUUCGGGAAACCGGAGCUAAUACCGGAUAAUAUAUUGAACCGCAUGGUUCAAUAGUGAAAGACGGUUUUGCUGUCACUUAUAGAUGGAUCCGCGCCGCAUUAGCUAGUUGGUAAGGUAACGGCUUACCAAGGCGACGAUGCGUAGCCGACCUGAGAGGGUGAUCGGCCACACUGGAACUGAGACACGGUCCAGACUCCUACGGGAGGCAGCAGUAGGGAAUCUUCCGCAAUGGGCGAAAGCCUGACGGAGCAACGCCGCGUGAGUGAUGAAGGUCUUCGGAUCGUAAAACUCUGUUAUUAGGGAAGAACAAAUGUGUAAGUAACUAUGCACGUCUUGACGGUACCUAAUCAGAAGGCCACGGCUAACUACG
This 495-nucleotide ribosomal RNA is filed under the name uncultured bacterium. RNAcentral's name for it is "partial 16S ribosomal RNA". It matches the Rfam family "Bacterial small subunit ribosomal RNA", at positions 28 to 505 of the family's 1533-position model. The record is from RNAcentral.